GACGAACGCUGGCGGCGUGCUUAACACAUGCAAGUCGAACGGAAAGGCCCUGCUUUUGUGGGGUGCUCGAGUGGCGAACGGGUGAGUAACACGUGAGUAACCUGCCCUUGACUUUGGGAUAACUUCAGGAAACUGGGGCUAAUACCCGAUAGGAGCUCCUGCUGCAUGGUGGGGGUUGGAAAGAUUCGGCGGUUGGGGAUGGACUCGCGGCUUACGAGCUUGUUGGUGGGGUAGUGGCUUACCAAGGCUUUGACGGGUAGCCGGCCUGAGAGGGUGACCGGGCUCAUUGGGACUGAGAUAGGGCCCAGACUCCUACGGGACGCAGCAGUGGGGAGUAUUGCGCAAUGGGCGGGAGCCUGAUGCAGCAGCGCCGCGUGCGUGAUGACGGGCUUCGGGGGAUAAACCGCUUUCGCCGGUGACGAGGAGUGAGUGACGGUAAUGGGUAAAGAAGCACCGGCUAACUACGUG
This 468-nucleotide ribosomal RNA is filed under the name uncultured bacterium. RNAcentral's name for it is "partial 16S ribosomal RNA". It matches the Rfam family "Bacterial small subunit ribosomal RNA", at positions 28 to 507 of the family's 1533-position model. The record is from RNAcentral.